Molecule: ribosomal RNA, 373 nt
Filed under: uncultured bacterium
Lineage: Bacteria
Description: bacterial SSU rRNA
Rfam family: Bacterial small subunit ribosomal RNA
Source: RNAcentral
UACGGAGGGAGCUAGCGUUGUUCGGAAUUACUGGGCGUAAAGAGUACGUAGGCGGUUUUUUAAGUCAGAGGUGAAAUCCCGGAGCUCAACUCCGGAACUGCCUUUGAAACUGGAAAGCUAGAAUCAUGGAGAGGUUAGUGGAAUUCCGAGUGUAGAGGUGAAAUUCGUAGAUAUUCGGAAGAACACCAGUGGCGAAGGCGACUGACUGGACAUGUAUUGACGCUGAGGUACGAAAGCGUGGGGAGCAAACAGGAUUAGAUACCCUGGUAGUCCACGCCGUAAACGAUGAUAACUAGUUGUUCGGGCACAACGUGCUUGAGUGACGCAGCUAACGCAUUAAGUUAUCCGCCUGGGGAGUACGGUCGCAAGAUUA